Molecule: ribosomal RNA, 422 nt
Filed under: uncultured bacterium
Lineage: Bacteria
Description: bacterial SSU rRNA
Rfam family: Bacterial small subunit ribosomal RNA
Source: RNAcentral
UAAGGAAUAUUGGACAAUGGAGGCAACUCUGAUCCAGCCAUGCCGCGUGAAGGAAUAAGGCCCUAUGGGUUGUAAACUUCUUUUAGACGGGACGAAACCCCUCUACGUGUAAAGGGUUGAUGGUACUGUCAGAAUAAGCAUCGGCUAACUUCGUGCCAGCAGCCGCGGUAAUACGAAGGAUGCAAGCGUUAUCCGGAAUUAUUGGGUUUAAAGGGUGCGUAGGCGGACUAAUAAGUCAGUGGUGAAAGCCUGCAGCUUAACUGCAGAAUUGCCAUUGAUACUGUUAGUCUUGAGUACAGUUGAGGUAGGCGGAAUGUGUCAUGUAGCGGUGAAAUGCUUAGAUAUGACACAGAACACCGAUUGCGAAGGCAGCUUGCUAAGCUGUAACUGACGCUGAGGCACGAAAGCGUGGGGAGCAAACA